GUGGGGAAUCUUGCGCAAUGGGCGAAAGCCUGACGCAGCCAUGCCGCGUGAAUGAUGAAGGUCUUAGGAUUGUAAAAUUCUUUCACCGGGGACGAUAAUGACGGUACCCGGAGAAGAAGCUCCGGCUAACUUCGUGCCAGCAGCCGCGAUAAUACGAAGGGGGCUAGCGUUGCUCGGAAUUACUGGGCGUAAAGGGCGCGUAGGCGGACAGCUUAGUCAGAGGUGAAAGCCCAGGGCUCAACCUUGGAAUUGCCUUUGAUACUGGCUGUCUUGAGUUUGGGAGAGGUGAGUGGAACUCCGAGUGUAGAGGUGAAAUUCGUAGAUAUUCGGAAGAACACCAGUGGCGAAGGCGACUCACUGGCCCAAUACUGACGCUGAGGCGCGAAAGCGUGGGGAGCAAACAGGAUUAGAAACCCGAGUAGUCC
This 425-nucleotide ribosomal RNA is filed under the name uncultured bacterium. RNAcentral's name for it is "partial 16S ribosomal RNA". It matches the Rfam family "Bacterial small subunit ribosomal RNA", at positions 354 to 796 of the family's 1533-position model. The record is from RNAcentral.